Long non-coding RNA from Diachasma alloeum, 1044 nucleotides. RefSeq lists it as uncharacterized. The record is from RefSeq and is a predicted model, not a curated record. The transcript has 6 exons. Lineage: Eukaryota; Metazoa; Arthropoda; Insecta; Hymenoptera; Braconidae.
GGUGUAAUAUAUUACGCGUCUGGCGCCUAAAAAAAAACUCAUUGACGAAAAUUCAUUUCGUCAGGGAGUUUCUUUUUAGGUACUAGCCACGUGAGAUAUUUUUCGCGUUCGAGGCGUCUAAAAAUCGUGUUCCUGACCGAACGAAGUGAGGUCAGCGUACGAUUUUUAGGCGCCGAGACGCGAAAAAUUACUUCAUGUAAUUUAUGUUACCUCCCUGUGGAAAACAAUUGAUUGGCAAGCAUCAUCCACAACAAUUACAACAAUUAAGUAACAGUGAAAAAUAUUGCUGUUUUAGCUAUCAACAACACAACGAUCCGGUUCGGGUCAAAACCAUUCACGAUCGGAUCCUCUGAGACAUGCUCUUUGCGACUCCAAAACGAUGAUAUCGCACCCCAACAUUUGCUGCUGGAACUGUCGCCAGUAGGUUUCCUUACAUUGAAGGUGUUGACGACCAAAACAGUGGUUAAACUGAAUCAGUGCCCUCUGAUACCCUUCAAAAUAUAUCCUGUGUUUACCAUCGGUUACCUGUCCAUGGGCAAGACACAUGGCUGUUUGGGGGUGGUUUAGGAUAAUAAAAUGUUCACAGUAGCAGAAAGAAUCCAUGCGAUCUCUACAACUUCUGUCUGUGAUCUCAGUAAAACAGCGAAGCUCGUACGUGAGGGAAGAAAGCGUAAAAACAAGACCCAACACGAUAUUCCGUUGAAGAAACCAAAAAUGUCUUCGAGAUUGCAGUCUUGCUCCACCGAAAAAACUCUGACGAGCUGAAAUUCUGAGGCUCACUGUCGAUUUUUACAAAAAGCUUUUUUGGCCACAGUGCACGGACAGUGACAGAUUGUACGUGUGAAAACGCAAAUUCACCAGCAUCAUUGAUCCGCUUCAAAGAGCGGUGCACGGAGUACAUACCUGAUGUCAAAAAGAAUCAUGAUUUUACAAGUUCGUGCAGUUGUCGACUCCACUCACAAAUGCUGUAAUUUACUCUUUUAUAAACCUUGUAGAUAAAAAGUAUAGAACUUUCUAGAUAAAAAGUAUCGAAGUGUCUCUUCA